AGCGGCGGACGGGUGAGUAAUGCCUAGGAAUCUGCCUGGUAGUGGGGGAUAACGCUCGGAAACGGACGCUAAUACCGCAUACGUCCUACGGGAGAAAGCAGGGGACCUUCGGGCCUUGCGCUAUCAGAUGAGCCUAGGUCGGAUUAGCUAGUUGGUGAGGUAAUGGCUCACCAAGGCGACGAUCCGUAACUGGUCUGAGAGGAUGAUCAGUCACACUGGAACUGAGACACGGUCCAGACUCCUACGGGAGGCAGCAGUGGGGAAUAUUGGACAAUGGGCGAAAGCCUGAUCCAGCCAUGCCGCGUGUGUGAAGAAGGUCUUCGGAUUGUAAAGCACUUUAAGUUGGGAGGAAGGGCAUUUACCUAAUACGUAAGUGUUUUGACGUUACCGACAGAAUAAGCACCGGCUAACUCUGUGCCAGCAGCCGCGGUAAUACAGAGGGUGCAAGCGUUAAUCGGAAUUACUGGGCGUAAAGCGCGCGUAGGUGGUUCGUUAAGUUGGAUGUGAAAUCCCCGGGCUCAACCUGGGAACUGCAUUCAAAACUGUCGAGCUAGAGUAUGGUAGAGGGUGGUGGAAUUUCCUGUGUAGCGGUGAAAUGCGUAGA
This 604-nucleotide ribosomal RNA is filed under the name Pseudomonas frederiksbergensis. RNAcentral describes it as "bacterial SSU rRNA". It matches the Rfam family "Bacterial small subunit ribosomal RNA", at positions 94 to 694 of the family's 1533-position model. Lineage: Bacteria; Pseudomonadati; Pseudomonadota; Gammaproteobacteria; Pseudomonadales; Pseudomonadaceae. The record is from RNAcentral.